RNAcentral lists this long non-coding RNA (223 nucleotides) under Lathyrus oleraceus (garden pea). RNAcentral describes it as "Pisum sativum (pea) long non-coding RNA (PSAT_LNC009823)". Lineage: Eukaryota; Viridiplantae; Streptophyta; Magnoliopsida; Fabales; Fabaceae. The record is from RNAcentral.
GAUGAUGAUGUCCUGACCCCACCUUAUUUAUUUUAAUUCUUCAUAAUUUUCUUGAUUAAUUUACUAUUUAUUUGAUAAUUAUUAAGUUGGCUUGAAUUUUUAGUUGAUUUCUUUAUGAUCGAUGUUUGACUUAGGGAUUGCUUAUGGCAAUUAAAGAGAUCUUUUGAUCCUCCCUUGUUCAUCUCAUAUGCCAUGUAUUAGAGGCCUUGUAUCUUGAUUUUAU